This is a long non-coding RNA of Jaculus jaculus (lesser Egyptian jerboa), 506 nucleotides long. RefSeq lists it as uncharacterized. The record is from RefSeq and is a predicted model, not a curated record. The transcript has 3 exons. NCBI's taxonomy places the organism in Eukaryota, Metazoa, Chordata, Mammalia, Rodentia, Dipodidae.
GUUUGGACGUGCGCGCCCCCAGGCGGCGGAGCUGGCGCGGGCGGCCUUGCUCGGCAAGUCCCUAAUGGAGUGUGAGAUGCACUGGAGGUGGACUCUGUUUCGUGGUUCCAGGCGAUGCUGGGUAUAGACAUCUAGUUCAGGCAUUUCUGCCUCUCCCUGGCUACAGACAGCAGGAGAUAGAUUCUGGAAGUUUAAAGCCUUAAACAUGGCUGCCUCCUCAGCUGUCCCAGCUCAGAGCCAUGCCCAGAUCACUCCUGAUCGCCUUCACUCCCAGGAGGGAAAGGGCCCACCCUCAGUGUUGCCAGGGUUCCCUUCCACUCCUUGGACCUGCAGACCUGCAGGCCUGGGCAGACACAGCCAGAGGGAAGAUCCAAGGAUCAGUUCUUCGAGUGCAAUUUAAAGUAAAUAACCAGGAGCUGGACAGCUGGCUCAGGGGUUAAGGCGCUUGCCUUCAAAGCCUAAGGACCCUGGAUCAACUGAAGUAGUAAAGUCAGAUGCACAAGGUG